UCUCUGAUGGUCCAGUGGCUGACUCUGUGCUCCCAAUGCAGGGAGCCUGGGUUCAAUCCCUGGUCAGGGAA
This is a non-coding RNA of Bos taurus (domestic cattle), 71 nucleotides long. NCBI's taxonomy places the organism in Eukaryota, Metazoa, Chordata, Mammalia, Artiodactyla, Bovidae. The record is from Rfam.